UACGUAGGGUGCGAGCGUUAAUCGGAAUUACUGGGCGUAAAGUGUGCGCAGGCGGCAGAGCAAGUCGAGUGUGAAAGCCCCGGGCUUAACUUGGGAAUUGCGCUCGAAACUACUUUGCUGGAGUGUGGCAGAGGAAGGUGGAAUUCCACGUGUAGCGGUGAAAUGCGUAGAGAUGUGGAGGAACACCAAUGGCGAAGGCAGCCUUCUGGGCUGACACUGACGCUCAGGCACGAAAGCGUGGGGAGCAAACAGG
RNAcentral lists this ribosomal RNA (253 nucleotides) under uncultured bacterium. RNAcentral describes it as "partial 16S ribosomal RNA". It matches the Rfam family "Bacterial small subunit ribosomal RNA", at positions 524 to 776 of the family's 1533-position model. The record is from RNAcentral.